UCGUGCAGCCGGGGAGAUAGCGGUGCCCUGUACCUGCAAUCCGCUACAGCAGGGGUGAUAUCCAUCCGAGGUUCGUAUCUGUAGGGCCUGCCGCGGGUGACGCGGUGUUGACGAUCGGGUCUCGCGCAAUAGAAUCUUUCGAACCGUGUCAGGUCCGGAAGGAAGCAGCACUAAGGAAGUCCUUCUAUGUGCCGUGAGGAAGCCUGGUCUGAGCUGGCUGCUCGCGUAACGCCUAUGGGUGCGUAUCGAAGAUGGAUGCACGG
This 263-nucleotide signal recognition particle RNA is filed under the name Candidatus Faecimorpha stercoravium. RNAcentral's name for it is "signal recognition particle sRNA large type". It matches the Rfam family "Bacterial large signal recognition particle RNA". From Rfam's summary of the family: The signal recognition particle (SRP) is a universally conserved ribonucleoprotein involved in the co-translational targeting of proteins to membranes. The record is from RNAcentral. Lineage: Bacteria; Bacillati; Bacillota; Clostridia; Eubacteriales.